RNAcentral lists this transfer RNA (76 nucleotides) under Gammaproteobacteria bacterium. Its description in RNAcentral is "tRNA-Asn". It matches the Rfam family "tRNA". From Rfam's summary of the family: Transfer RNA (tRNA) molecules are approximately 80 nucleotides in length. Their secondary structure includes four short double-helical elements and three loops (D, anti-codon, and T loops). Further hydrogen bonds mediate the characteristic L-shaped molecular structure. tRNAs have two regions of fundamental functional importance: the anti-codon, which is responsible for specific mRNA codon recognition, and the 3' end, to which the tRNAs corresponding amino acid is attached (by aminoacyl-tRNA synthetases). tRNAs cope with the degeneracy of the genetic code in two manners: having more than one tRNA (with a specific anti-codon) for a particular amino acid; and 'wobble' base-pairing, i.e. permitting non-standard base-pairing at the 3rd anti-codon position. Lineage: Bacteria; Pseudomonadati; Pseudomonadota; Gammaproteobacteria. RNAcentral also lists the same sequence under 1 other name. The record is from RNAcentral.
UCCCCGGUAGCUCAGUUGGUAGAGCGGUUGACUGUUAAUCAAUUUGUCGCUGGUUCGAGUCCGGCCCGGGGAGCCA